Small nucleolar RNA from Protopterus annectens (West African lungfish), 129 nucleotides. RefSeq annotates it as U8 small nucleolar RNA. Lineage: Eukaryota; Metazoa; Chordata; Ceratodontiformes; Protopteridae. The record is from RefSeq and is a predicted model, not a curated record. The transcript has a single exon.
UCGUCAGUGAGGUUAAUCCUUGCCUGUUUUUCCUUUGGGAAAAAUGAAACAUGAUUUGAUUUAAUGAGGUUGUGAUUAAAUUACUUUGGCUUGUAGAAUGCAACAACAUCUACACUAACCAUAUCUGAU